This 495-nucleotide ribosomal RNA is filed under the name uncultured bacterium. RNAcentral's name for it is "partial 16S ribosomal RNA". It matches the Rfam family "Bacterial small subunit ribosomal RNA", at positions 28 to 507 of the family's 1533-position model. The record is from RNAcentral.
GACGAACGCUGGCGGCGUGCCUAAUACAUGCAAGUAGAACGCUGAAGGAGGAGCUUGCUUCUCUGGAUGAGUUGCGAACGGGUGAGUAACGCGUAGGUAACCUGCCUGGUAGCGGGGGAUAACUAUUGGAAACGAUAGCUAAUACCGCAUAAGAGUAGAUGUUGCAUGACAUUUACUUAAAAGGUGCAAUUGCAUCACUACCAGAUGGACCUGCGUUGUAUUAGCUAGUUGGUGAGGUAACGGCUCACCAAGGCAACGAUACAUAGCCGACCUGAGAGGGUGAUCGGCCACACUGGGACUGAGACACGGCCCAGACUCCUACGGGAGGCAGCAGUAGGGAAUCUUCGGCAAUGGACGGAAGUCUGACCGAGCAACGCCGCGUGAGUGAAGAAGGUUUUCGGAUCGUAAAGCUCUGUUGUAAGAGAAGAACGAGUGUGAGAGUGGAAAGUUCACACUGUGACGGUAUCUUACCAGAAAGAGACGGCUAACUACGUG